GUGCCAGCAGCCGCGGUAAUACCGGCAGCCCGAGUGAUGGCCGAUCUUAUUGGGCCUAAAGCGUCCGUAGCUGGGUCUGAAAGUCCGUCGGGAAAUCCACUCGCUCAACGAGUGGCCGUCCGGUGGAAACUCCACACCUUGGGACCGGAAGGCUCGAAGGGUACGGCCGGGGUAGGAGUGAAAUCCCAUAAUCCCGCACGGACCACCGAUGGCGAAAGCACUUCGAGAAAACGGAUCCGACAGUGAGGGACGAAAGCCAGGGUCUCCAACCGGAUUAGAAACCCUAGUAGUCC
Molecule: ribosomal RNA, 293 nt
Filed under: uncultured bacterium
Lineage: Bacteria
Description: partial 16S ribosomal RNA
Rfam family: Archaeal small subunit ribosomal RNA
Source: RNAcentral